GUAGACGGCCGUAUCAUGCUACCGCGACUGGAAGGAAUCUACGAUCCUUGUUUCGGAGCAGAGCUUUGUUUCUGUUAGAUUCGUUCAUUUGAAGUAAAACCGCGUCGAAUAAGCAUAAUUACGAUAUUUAAAGUGGAGUGGGCUAAACUGAAUAAUUACCAAAUGUUUUCUCCUAUUAAAUUCUCCUCUUCUAAAUUGUUUCAAGGAAGAAACUUAACUGGAACGACACGUCAUGUACGUGAUUUAGUUGCAGAUAUUUAUGCAAAUAUACAGCAGUGGAACAAUCUUCAGAUCCAAGGACUCAAUUAUUUAAAAGAUAUAACAUACAGACAUAUUCAGGAAAGUCAUAAUGAAAGUCAUUUAGAGAAUUUGCAAGAUUUAUGUGAUAAAUUAGAAAAUAUUUGUGAUAAGCUGGUACGUUUUUUCUUUUGUUAUGCUGUACUUAUGAUUCUUUUAUUAUUUUACAUAUUUAUAGCUUUACAGGUAUAAGUUAACAUUAUUUUGAUUUAAGGAUAUAUUACUUGUACAAUAAAUUUCUACAAAGUAAAUUGAAAUUAGAAAUGUUAUUUUUUAUAUUUUAAAUAUGAAAGUUACAUGAAUAAAACAUUUGGAAUAAAUUUUAAUUAAUAUUUUUAUAGUUUAUUAAUUUUUUUAAAUUAAAAAUUAAAUUAUUGUAAAAUACAAUAACAUAAGAAAAUCAGUUUUUUGUAUAACUACUUUUGCAUAAGUAUUCAACAUAAUUUAUGUAAAGUUUUAUAAUAUUGUUAUAUAUAACUCUAUUGAAAAAAAUCACGUCACAAAAUUACAUAACAAAAUUACGUAACAAAUCACAUAAUUAAUGAUGACCAAACAUAACAAAUGUUUCAAAUUGUUACCUAAUUUUUAAAAAUCAUGUUAUUUGAAAAAUGUAAUUUUUUAAUUACAGGAUGUUAAAGAAAAUUAUGUAAUUUUGAAGAAGUACAUUAUUUGAAAAAUUAUGUCAUUUUGGAAAGUCACAUAAUGUUUUGGGAAUUAUGAUUUUGUUCACAAAAAAAUAGUAAAAAAUUUAAUUAACUCACUAGUUUUUUAUGGACAAAAUGAUUCCCAAAACAUUAUCUGACUUUUCGAAAUGACAUAAUUUUUUAAAUAACGUACUUCUUCAAAAUUAAUAAAUAAUUAUUUUUUAAAUCAUAUAAUUUUUUAAAUGACAUAAUUUUUAAAAAUGAGGUAACAUUUUAAAACAUUUGUUAUGUGUUUUGUCGUCAUUAAUUACUUGAUUUGUCACAUAAUUUUGUUAUGUGAUUUUUUGACGUGAUGUGAUUUUUUUCAGUAGGGAGUUGUUCUAUAAGAGAUAAAUAUGAUAAGUUAUUCUAUAAAUAAGUAAAUGAGAUAAGUUGACAAAAGAAGCCACUUUGAUUAUAGUUUCUUUAUAAACUUAAACUAUAACUAUACAGAUUAGGUAUUUUAAUUACAAAUAAGUGUUCCCUAAAAACUAUAGUGAUAAUCAAAUAAUAAAUGAGAAAAAGCAAAUAAGUCACUACAGGAUCUUGGUGUAGAAUGUAUAUUAUCUUUGUGAUUCUAACUAAUAAAUAGACGUUUUGAUCUG
Molecule: long non-coding RNA, 1585 nt
Filed under: Monomorium pharaonis (pharaoh ant)
Lineage: Eukaryota; Metazoa; Arthropoda; Insecta; Hymenoptera; Formicidae
Description: uncharacterized LOC118647261, transcript variant X1
Source: RNAcentral